CCUUUCCCAUGCUUCUCACAACGUGUAUGUGCAGCCAGUGGAAGGAAGCUGCUGAUUGUUCUCCUGGUAUGGAGAUGUGAGCGGGUACUGGUUCCUGGGAGACUGCUGGGGAUGUUUUUCAUUGAGAGGACAACAGCAGAGUGGAAGUGUGUGGCAAUCGCUGUUCCUCUGGUGUUCUUUUUCAUGUUUCUUUUGUUUGAUUUUGUUUCCAAGUGGUUAAUCCUUUUUGCUAGCCAGUGCCCAUGAUAAUGCUGAUUAGUUGAUCAGCCUGUGUUCACUUAGUACUCUGGCCUGUGGUGGCGCUGGUUUGCAGCUUUGUAUAUUUGUUUGUUUGUUUUGUUUGUCAAAACCUUCCCGAUUGUUUGCCAGGCUAACCCAGCGCCGGAUAUAUGCAUGUUGGGAGGAAGAGCAGGGCUAAUGUUUGCAGUGCCACAUUGUGUGAAGAUUUGAACUUGGUUCUUUGUUUGCACCUGAUGAUCCUUUAUGUGUGGGGUGUU
This is a long non-coding RNA of Conger conger (European conger), 497 nucleotides long. RefSeq lists it as uncharacterized. Lineage: Eukaryota; Metazoa; Chordata; Actinopteri; Anguilliformes; Congridae. The transcript has 3 exons. The record is from RefSeq and is a predicted model, not a curated record.